This 318-nucleotide ribosomal RNA is filed under the name Lomentospora prolificans. RNAcentral's name for it is "eukaryotic LSU rRNA". It matches the Rfam family "Eukaryotic large subunit ribosomal RNA", at positions 1 to 315 of the family's 3401-position model. The record is from RNAcentral. Lineage: Eukaryota; Fungi; Ascomycota; Sordariomycetes; Microascales; Microascaceae.
GUUUGACCUCGGAUCAGGUAGGGUUACCCGCUGAACUUAAGCAUAUCAAUAAGCGGAGGAAAAGAAACCAACAGGGAUUGCCUCAGUAACGGCGAGUGAAGCGGCAACAGCUCAAAUUUGAAAUCUGGCCGCCUGUGCGGUCCGAGUUGUAAUUUGAAGAGGAUGCUUUUGGCAAGGUGCCUUCCGAGUGCCCUGGAAUGGGACGCCAUAGAGGGUGAGAGCCCCGUAUGGUCGGUCGCCGAGCCUCUGUAAAGCUCCUUCGACGAGUCGAGUAGUUUGGGAAUGCUGCUCAAAAUGGGAGGUAAACCCCUUCUAAAG